GACGAACGCUGGCGGCGUGCUUAACACAUGCAAGUCGAGCGGUAAGGCCCUUUCGGGGGUACACGAGCGGCGAACGGGUGAGUAACACGUGGGUGACCUGCCCUCAGCUCUGGGAUAAGCCUGGGAAACCGGGUCUAAUACCGGAUAUGACUCCAUGACGCAUGUUGUGGGGUGGAAAGCCUUGUGCGGCUGAGGAUGGGCCCGCGGCCUAUCAGCUUGUUGGUGGGGUGANGGCCUACCAAGGCGACGACGGGUAGCCGGCCUGAGAGGGCGACCGGCCACACUGGGACUGAGACACGGCCCAGACUCCUACGGGAGGCAGCAGUGGGGAAUCUUGCGCAAUGGGCGAAAAGCCUGACGCAGCGACGCCGCGUGAGGGAUGACGGCCUGG
RNAcentral lists this ribosomal RNA (391 nucleotides) under uncultured bacterium. RNAcentral's name for it is "bacterial SSU rRNA". It matches the Rfam family "Bacterial small subunit ribosomal RNA", at positions 28 to 419 of the family's 1533-position model. The record is from RNAcentral.